This 309-nucleotide ribosomal RNA is filed under the name uncultured bacterium. RNAcentral describes it as "partial 16S ribosomal RNA". It matches the Rfam family "Bacterial small subunit ribosomal RNA", at positions 504 to 809 of the family's 1533-position model. The record is from RNAcentral.
AGAGACAGCAGUAGCCGCGGUAAUACGGAGGGUGCAAGCGUUAAUCGGAAUUACUGGGCGUAAAGCGCACGCAGGCGGUCUGACAAGUCAGAUGUGAAAUCCCCGGGCUUAACCUGGGAACUGCAUUUGAAACUGUCAGGCUGGAGUCUUGUAGAGGGGGGUAGAAUUCCAGGUGUAGCGGUGAAAUGCGUAGAGAUCUGGAGGAAUACCGGUGGCGAAGGCGGCCCCCUGGACAAAGACUGACGCUCAGGUGCGAAAGCGUGGGGAGCAAACAGGAUUAGAUACCCCUGUAGUCCCUGUCUCUUAUAA